UUCUCGCCUGCCACGCGGGAGGCCCGG
RNAcentral lists this non-coding RNA (27 nucleotides) under Gallus gallus (chicken). The record is from RNAcentral. RNAcentral also lists the same sequence under 4 other names. Lineage: Eukaryota; Metazoa; Chordata; Aves; Galliformes; Phasianidae.